AGUGAACGCUGGCGGUAGGCCUAGCACAUGCAAGUCGAACGGCAGCACAGUAAGAGCUUGCUCUUACGGGUGGCGAGUGGCGGACGGGUGAGGAAUACAUCGGAAUCUACUUUUUCGUGGGGGAUAACGUAGGGAAACUUACGCUAAUACCGCAUACGACCUACGGGUGAAAGCAGGGGAUCUUCGGACCUUGCGCGAUUGAAUGAGCCGAUGUCGGAUUAGCUAGUUGGCGGGCUAAAGGCCCACCAAGGCGACGAUCCGUAGCUGGUCUGAGAGGAUGAUCAGCCACACUGGAACUGAGACACGGUCCAGACUCCUACGGGAGGCAGCAGUGGGGAAUAUUGGACAAUGGGCGCAAGCCUGAUCCAGCCAUACCGCGUGGGUGAAGAAGGCCUUCGGGUUGUAAAGCCCUUUUGUUGGGAAAGAAAAGCAGCAGGUUAAUACCCCGCUGUUCUGACGGUACCCAAAGAAUAAGCACCGGCUAACUUCGUG
This 492-nucleotide ribosomal RNA is filed under the name uncultured bacterium. Its description in RNAcentral is "partial 16S ribosomal RNA". It matches the Rfam family "Bacterial small subunit ribosomal RNA", at positions 29 to 507 of the family's 1533-position model. The record is from RNAcentral.